This 468-nucleotide ribosomal RNA is filed under the name uncultured bacterium. RNAcentral describes it as "partial 16S ribosomal RNA". It matches the Rfam family "Bacterial small subunit ribosomal RNA", at positions 28 to 507 of the family's 1533-position model. The record is from RNAcentral.
GACGAACGCUGGCGGCGUGCUUAACACAUGCAAGUCGAACGGAAAGGCCCUGCUUUUGUGGGUUUCUCGAUUGGCGAACGGGUGUGUAUCACAUGAGUAACCCGCCCCUGACUUUGUGGUAUCUUCAGGAAACUCGGGCUAAUACCCGGUAUGAUCUCCUGCUGCAUGUUGUUGGUUGGAAAGUUUCGGCGGUGGUGGCUGGUCUGGCGGCUUAUCCGCUUGUUGGUGUGGUAGUGGCUUACCAAGGCUUUGACGGGUAGCCUGCCUGGGAGGGUAAACGGCGACAAUGGGACUGAGAGACGGAGCAGAAGCCAACGGGAGGCAGCAGGGGGGAACAUGGCACAGUGGGGGGAAGCCUGAUACAGAAGCGCCGCGUGCGGAAUAACGGCCUUCGGGUGGUAAACCGCUUUCGACUGAGACGAGGAGGGAGUGACGGUAAUGGGUAAAGAAGCAACGGCUAACUACGUG